UUAUUUUUUUAAUGUCUGUUUAUUUAUUUUGUGUGAGAGAGAGAGCAUGUGCACGAGUUGGGGAGGGGCGAGAGAGGAAAAGAGAGAAUCCCAAGAAGGCUCCAUGCUGUCAGUACAGAGCCCAAUGCGGGGCUCAAUCCGUGAGAUCAUGACCAUGAUCUCAUGUGAUCACAAACCGUGAGAUCAUUUCCUGAGGCAAAUUAAGAGUCAGAUGCUUAACUGACUGAGCCACCUAGGCACUCCAGUUUGAAUGAUCCUAAUCCCUUUACAUUUAUUAAGAUUUGGGGGCAGGAAGUUGUGGGGGAAAAUUUAUUAACAUUUUUUUAAUGUUUAUUUAUCAAGAGAGAGAGAGAGCAUGAGGGAGGGGCAGAGAGAGGAGAGGGAGAAUCCCAAGUAGGCUCCAUGCUAUCAGGGUAGAGCCCAACAGCGGGCUUAAUCCCCUGAACCAUGAGAUCACGACCUGAGCAGAGAUCAAGAGUUCAACUCUUUUUUUUUUUUAAUUUAUUUUUGACAGAAGAGAGAGAGACAGAGCAUGAGUGGGGGAGGGGCAGAUAGAGGGAGACACAGAAUCUGAAGCAGACUCCAGGCUCUGAGCUGUCAGCACAGAACCUGAUGUGGGGCUCGAACUCACGGAUGGUGAGAUCAUGACCUGAGCCGAAGUCGGACGCUCAACCGACUGAGCCACCGAGGCACCCCAAGAGUUCAAGUCUUAACCCACUGAGACACCUAGGCGCCCGUAAGAUUUGUUUUUAUCACAUACACACACACACACAUACACACACACAUACACAGACACACACAUAUUUGUUUUAUCACAAAUCUUUGAUGGAUGUUUCAUGUACACUUGAAAAGAAAAUGUACUCUGCUGUUGUUGGAUAGAGUAUUCUGUAAAUGUCAAUUAAAUCCAGGUUAAUGGUGUUCAGUCCUUCAGUGUCCCUGCUGAACAUCUGUCUACUGGUUCUAUCAACAAGAUAGGAAUGUUGACAUUUCCAUCUAUAGUUGUGUGUUUUUCUAUUUUACCUUUCACUUUUUUUAGUUUUUACUUCAUAUAUUUUGAAGCUUUGUUGUUAGAUGCACCCACAUUUAGGAUUUUUAUGUCUUCUUUAUGAAUUGAGUCUUUUAUCAUUAUGUAAUGUUCCUUAGUGGUACCUAGCUUCUGAAAUGACUCCUAACGAUUCCCAACUCCUGUUACUUGCACCUGUAUGUGAUCGUCUCCUCUUGAAUAUAGGCUGGACCUGGUGACUCACUUUUAAUGAACAGAGUAUGGCAAAAAAAUGAUGAGCCAUCUCUUCCAAGAUUAGUUUUAUAAAUUAUUGUGACUUUUUUUUUUUUUUGCUUGCACUUUCUCUCUGGGUUUUGUUUUGUUUUGUUUGUUUUUGUUUUGUGCCCUUACUCUGAUGAUGACAUACCGUGAGCAACCUUAUGGAAAGGCCCAUAUGGCAAGGAGCUGAGUGUGGCUGGCCUCUGGCAAACAGCCAGUGAGGAACUGAGGCCCUCAUUCUAACAGCCUGGGAACAACUGAAUCCUGCCAACAACAUCAUGAGUGGGUUUGGAAGCAGAUCCUUCUUUGGUUAAGGCUUCAGGUCAUGAUCUCACAGUUGUGAGAUGAAGCCUUGCAUCUGGCGCUGAGCUGAGCGUGGAUUCUGUUUAAGGUUUUCUCCCUCUCCCUCUGCCCCUCCCCUGCUUGUACUUGCUCUCUCUUUAAAAAAAAAAAAGAAAUAAAAUAAAAGUGUGUUGUUUUAGGUCACUAAAUUUGGGGGUACUUCAUUAUAUAGCAAGAAGUAACUAAUAUACCUACCUGGUAAUUUUCUUUGCUCUGAAGUCUACUUUUGCCUUUAAUAUAGCUGUUCCAACCUCCUUUUCUAUUAGAGUUUACAUUUCCCCCCACCCUUUAAAUUUUAACAUAUCUAUAUCAUUAUAUUUGAAGUGACUUUCUAGUAGACAGCAUAUAGCUGGGUCAUGUUUUUUAAUUUAUUCUGACAAUCUCUUUUAAUUGAUGUGUAUAGAGCAUUUAGAGUUGUAUGAUUAUUGAUAUUUAAAUUUCAAUUCCUUAUCAUCAUUUUGUUAUUUGUUCUCUAUUUUCUCUGUUUUUCAUUCCUUGGUUAUCCCUUCCCUACUAUCAUCUGGAAAAUUAGAACAGUUUUUGGUAUUCCAUUUUAAUUUAUUGAUUGCAUUUUAGCUGUAUCUUUUUGUAUAGUUUUGUGGAGAAGUUGCUCCAGAGAUUUUGAUGUACAUACUUAACUUUUCGGUUUCCUUAGAAUCAGUAUUUUAUCAUUCAAAUGGACCCACCAUUUAGGUUCUUUUACCUUUCUUCUUUUAUGUUAUAGUUAUCUUAUAUAUUACAUCUAUGUGUAUUGAAAACUCAUUAAAACAAUGUUUUAAUUUUUGUUUUCAACCAUAAAAAAUAUUUUAAACAAAUAAAAAAUAAUCUAUUCUAUUUAUACUUAUGUUAUUCUUCCUUCCUUUCUGAUGUUCCCAGUUUCCCUCUGACGUUAGUUUCCUAAUAUCUGAACUUCCUUUAGAAAUUUUUAAGAGCAGUUUUUUUCAACAAAUUCUCUUAGUUUCCUUUUAUCUGAGUAUGUCUUUAUUUCAUCUCCAUUCCUGAAGGAUGUUUUCACUUGAUACAGAAUUCUGAGUUAUCAUCUCUUCUGUUUUUUUCUCUUUUUGGCACUUUAAACUUCUAAAAUGAGUUUUUUAAUGUUUAUUUAUUUUUGAGAGAGAGAGAGCAACUGGGGGGGGGCACAGAGAGAGGGAGACAGAGGAUCCCAAGCAGGCUCUGUGCUGUCAGCACAGAGACCAAUGCUGGGCUCAAACUCAAAAACCAUGAGAUUGUAACCUGAGCCAAAGUCAGAUGCUUAACCAACUGAACCCCCAGGCACCCCUCUUUUUGGCACUUUAGUCUUGGGUGUCAUAUUUAGGAGAUGAAUCACUGGGUUUUACUCCUGAAGCCAAGACUAUACUGUGUUAACUAACUUGAAUUUAAAUUAAAAAAAAAUCUUAUACUCCUUCUGCCUCCACAGUCAUUUGAAUCUUUGUCUAUAUAUUUAUUAGUAAUACAUUGUUAGUCUCUGGCUAUCUUCAAGAUUGUUGGGGCACCUGGGUGGCUCAGUCAGUUGAGUGUCCGAUUUCGGUUCAGGACAUGAUUUCAACAGUCUGUGAGUUUAAGCCCCACGUCAGGCUCUAUGCUGACAGCUCAGAACCUGGAGCCUGCUUCAGAUUCUGUGUCUACCUCUCUCUCUGCCCACCUCCCCCCACCCCCCCACUUAUGCUCUGUCUGUCUGUCUGUCUUUCUCUCAAAAAUAAACUUAAAAAAAUAUUGUCUUUAGUUUUCAGCAAUUUGAUUGUAGCAUAUUUAAUUCAUGUUCAUUUGUAUUUUUAAAAAGAAUUUUUAACGUUUAUUUAUUUUUGAGACAGAGAGAGACAGAGCAUGAAUGGGGGAGGGUCAGAGAGAGAGGAAGACACAGAAUCUGACACAGGCUCCAGGCUCUGAGCUGUCAGCACAGAGCCCGACGCGGGGCUGGAACUCAUGGACUGCCAGAUCAUGACCUGAGCUGAAGUUGGACGCCUAACUGACUGAGCCACCCAGGCGCCCCUCAUUUGUGUUUUUUGUUUAGGGUUUGCUGACACUGAAUCUGUAAGUUGUCGUCUUUUGCCAAAUUUGGUAAUUUUUUAGAAAAAAAAUAUAUAUAGUAACACAGUUUUUCUCCUCUUUUUCUGAAACUCCAAUGACGUGAAUGUUAGUCCUUUUUGUACUGUUCGUGGACCCAUGAGGUUCUGUUCACUUUUGGCUGAGAAAGGAUUUCUUUUUUCUCUGUUGUUCAAUUAGGAUAAUUUCUAUUGAUCUGUCCUCAAGUUCAUUGGCUCUUUCCUCUGUCACUGACAUGCUUCUGUAAGGUGUUUUUGUUUACUUGUUUAGUUUUUGUAUUUUCAGUUCAAAUUUUUAAAUGUUUUACCUAAUUUGUUUAAAGAAUAGUACUAUCUGGGAAUGCAAGCUGGUGAACCCACUCUGGAAAACAGUAUGGAGAUUCCUCAAAAAACUAAAAUAGAACUACCCUAUGACCCAGCAGUUGCACUACUAGGCAUUUAUCCAUAGGAUACAGGUGUGCUGUUUCGAAGGGACACAUGCACCCCCAUGUUUGUAGCAGCACUAUCAACAAUAGCCAAAGUAUGGAAAGAGCCCAAAUGUCCAUUGAUGGAUGUAUGGAUAAAGAA
Acinonyx jubatus (cheetah) is the source of this 4212-nucleotide long non-coding RNA. RefSeq lists it as uncharacterized. The transcript has 2 exons. NCBI's taxonomy places the organism in Eukaryota, Metazoa, Chordata, Mammalia, Carnivora, Felidae. The record is from RefSeq and is a predicted model, not a curated record.